GACGAACGCUGGCGGCGUGCUUAACACAUGCAAGUCGAACGAGGUCCACUGCGCAGCAAUACAAGGGAAGACCUAGUGGCGAACGGGUGCGUAACACGUGAGGAACUUGUCCCGGUCUCUGGGAUAACAGUUGGAAACGACUGCUAAUACCGGAUGACGUCGGAAUCUCGCAUGGGAUACUGACGAAAGGGUUACUGGAUCGGGAGAGCCUCGCGGCCUAUCAGCUUGUUGGUGAGGUAACGGCUCACCAAGGCAUCGACGGGUAGCUGGUCUGAGAGGAUGAUCAGCCACACUGGGACUGAGACACGGCCCAGACUCCUACGGGAGGCAGCAGUGGGGAAUCUUGCGCAAUGGGCGAAAGCCUGACGCAGCAACGCCGCGUGCGGGAAGAAGGCCCUCGGGUUGUAAACCGCUUUCAGUAGGACGAAAAUGACGGUACCUGCAGAAGAAGGUAGCGGGCCAACUACGUAGCCAGCAGCCGCGGUAAU
Molecule: ribosomal RNA, 488 nt
Filed under: uncultured bacterium
Lineage: Bacteria
Description: bacterial SSU rRNA
Rfam family: Bacterial small subunit ribosomal RNA
Source: RNAcentral